Macadamia integrifolia is the source of this 102-nucleotide small nuclear RNA. The record is from RefSeq and is a predicted model, not a curated record. NCBI's taxonomy places the organism in Eukaryota, Viridiplantae, Streptophyta, Magnoliopsida, Proteales, Proteaceae.
UUCUCUUCGGAGAUAUUUGAUAAAAUUGAAACGUUAUAGAAAAAAUCAGCAUGGCCCCUGCGCAAGAUGACACACACAAAUUGGGAAAAGGUUCAAUUUUUU